AUUGAACGCUGGCGGCAGGCCUAACACAUGCAAGUCGAGCGAGCGGCGGACGGGUGAGUAAUGUCUGGGAAACUGCCUGAUGGAGGGGGAUAACUACUGGAAACGGUAGCUAAUACCGCAUACCAUCAGAUGUGCCCAUAUGGGAUUAGCUAGUAGGUGGGGUAAUGGCUCACCUAGGCGACGAUCCCUAGCUGGUCUGAGAGGAUGACCAGCCACACUGGAACUGAGACACGGGCCAGACUCCGACGGGAGGCAGCAGUGGGGAAUAUUGCACAAUGGGCGCAAGCCUGAUGCAGCCAUGCCGCGUGUGUGAAGAAGGCCUUCGGGUUGUAAAGCACUUUCAGCGGGGAGGCGUUACCCGCAGAAGAAGCACCGGCUAACUCCGUGCCAGCAGCCGCGGUAAUAC
RNAcentral lists this ribosomal RNA (406 nucleotides) under uncultured bacterium. RNAcentral describes it as "partial 16S ribosomal RNA". It matches the Rfam family "Bacterial small subunit ribosomal RNA", at positions 30 to 526 of the family's 1533-position model. The record is from RNAcentral.